GGAAGCAGCUUGCUUCUUCGCUGACGAGUGGCGGACGGGUGAGUAAUGUCUGGGAAACUGCCUGAUGGAGGGGGAUAACUACUGGAAACGGUAGCUAAUACCGCAUAACGUCGCAAGACCAAAGAGGGGGACCUUCGGGCCUCUUGCCAUCGGAUGUGCCCAGAUGGGAUUAGCUUGUAGGUGGGGUAACGGCUCACCUAGGCGACGAUCCCUAGCUGGUCUGAGAGGAUGACCAGCCACACUGGAACUGAGACACGGUCCAGACUCCUACGGGAGGCAGCAGUGGGGAAUAUUGCACAAUGGGCGCAAGCCUGAUGCAGCCAUGCCGCGUGUAUGAAGAAGGCCUUCGGGUUGUAAAGUACUUUCAGCGGGGAGGAAGGGAGUAAAGUUAAUACCUUUGCUCAUUGACGUUACCCGCAGAAGAAGCACCGGCUAACUCCGUGCCAGCAGCCGCGGUAAUACGGAGGGUGCAAGCGUUAAUCGGAAUUACUGGGCGUAAAGCGCACGCAGGCGGUUUGUUAAGUCAGAUGUGAAAUCCCCGGGCUCAACCUGGGAACUGCAUCUAAUACUGGCAAGCUUGAGUCUCGUAGAGGGGGGUAGAAUUCCAGGUGUAGCGGUGAAAUGCGUAGAGAUCUGGAGGAAUACCGGUGGCGAAGGCGG
Molecule: ribosomal RNA, 660 nt
Filed under: Escherichia coli
Lineage: Bacteria; Pseudomonadati; Pseudomonadota; Gammaproteobacteria; Enterobacterales; Enterobacteriaceae
Description: bacterial SSU rRNA
Rfam family: Bacterial small subunit ribosomal RNA
Source: RNAcentral